UACGGAGGGUGCAAGCGUUGUCCGGAAUCACUGGGCGUAAAGGGCGCGUAGGCGGUCCCUUAAGCGUGUGGUGAAAGCUCAGGGCUCAACUCUGAGUCGGCCAUGCGAACUGGGGGACUCGAGCACUGUAGAGGCAGGUGGAAUUCCGGGAGUAGCGGUGGAAUGCGUAGAGAUCCGGAAGAACACCGGUGGCGAAGGCGGCCUGCUGGGCAGUAGCUGACGCUGAGGCGCGACAGCGUGGGGAGCAAACAGG
This 253-nucleotide ribosomal RNA is filed under the name uncultured bacterium. Its description in RNAcentral is "partial 16S ribosomal RNA". It matches the Rfam family "Bacterial small subunit ribosomal RNA", at positions 524 to 776 of the family's 1533-position model. The record is from RNAcentral.